AAGAGUUCUGGAGACUGAAGGUCUAUUUAUACACAGAACAGGUACAAUACAAUGGGAGCAAUAUGAGCUUCCCUAGACUGCCCUGCUAAUAUGUCUCAAUCCUGACCUAGAGGAAUGACCUCUAGGUGGUAAGAGGGGAUAAGAGUACCAGGUUCAAUGCCUGGUCUCU
This 169-nucleotide small RNA is filed under the name Chrysemys picta bellii (western painted turtle). Its description in RNAcentral is "TUC338 (ENSCPBG00000005219.1)". The record is from RNAcentral. Lineage: Eukaryota; Metazoa; Chordata; Testudines; Emydidae.